Molecule: ribosomal RNA, 468 nt
Filed under: uncultured bacterium
Lineage: Bacteria
Description: partial 16S ribosomal RNA
Rfam family: Bacterial small subunit ribosomal RNA
Source: RNAcentral
GACGAACGCUGGCGGCGUGCUUAACACAUGCAAGUCGAACGGAAAGGCCCUGCUUUUGUGGGGUGCUCGAGUGGCGAACGGGUGAGUAACACGUGAGUAACCUGCCCUUGACUUUGGGAUAACUUCAGGAAACUGGGGCUAAUACCGGAUAGCAGCUCCUGCUGCAUGGUGGGGGUUGGAAAGUUUCGGCGGUUGGGGAUGGACUCGCGGCUUAUCAGCUUGUUGGUGGGGUAGUGGCUUACCAAGGCUUUGACGGGUAGCCGGCCUGAGAGGGUGACCGGCCACAUUAGGACUGAGAUACGGCCCAGACUCCAACGGGAGGCAGCAGUGGGGAAUAUUGCACAGUGGGCGGAAGCCUGAUGCAGCAACGCCGCGUGCGGGAUGACGGCCUUCGGGUUGUAAACCGCUUUCGCCUGUGACGAAGCGUGAGUGACGGUAAUGGGUAAAGAAGCACCGGCUAACUACGUG